Molecule: long non-coding RNA, 248 nt
Filed under: Capra hircus (goat)
Lineage: Eukaryota; Metazoa; Chordata; Mammalia; Artiodactyla; Bovidae
Description: Prostate androgen-regulated transcript 1 conserved region 2 (ENSCHIG00000006624.1)
Rfam family: Prostate androgen-regulated transcript 1 conserved region 2
Source: RNAcentral
UCGUACGCUGGGCUAUAAUUUAUGAAACUGAGCCCCAGAUCCAGCCAAUCACUUAGCUCCUCAUAACAAGUCUGACUGGCUCUGGAAAGCUGAAAGGGCUGCACUAGAACAACAAAGAUGAGAUAUUCCACAUAACACUCAGCUUAUCUGGAAUCACUUUCCCUUGCAAGGCCAGAAAAAAAAUCAUAGCUUUACUGCCCAAGGGAAGCACAACAAAGGACUGGGAAAUGCGACUUCACCUGGAGCAA